ACCGCGGUACGCAACUGGCGAUAGGCGCGGCCCACCGAGCGGCCGGCGCCGACGUGGACAUCAGCACAGGGGCUGCCUGAAGCGGGCAGCCGAUUGUUCCACCACGGGGAAGCGUGCCGCCGGGGUCUUCCGGUGUUCAGCCGUUCGCCUGGGCAGCCCUU
RNAcentral lists this non-coding RNA (161 nucleotides) under unclassified sequences. RNAcentral's name for it is "pfl RNA". It matches the Rfam family "ZMP/ZTP riboswitch aptamer (pfl RNA motif)". Rfam says of the family: Previously known as pfl RNA. ZMP is also known as AICAR. The record is from RNAcentral. RNAcentral also lists the same sequence under 1 other name.